RNAcentral lists this ribosomal RNA (840 nucleotides) under uncultured bacterium. RNAcentral describes it as "bacterial SSU rRNA". It matches the Rfam family "Bacterial small subunit ribosomal RNA", at positions 602 to 1440 of the family's 1533-position model. The record is from RNAcentral.
CNGGGGCUUAACUUCGGGGUGGCAGGCGAUACGGGCAUAACUAGAGUGCUGUAGGGGAGACUGGAAUUCCUGGUGUAGCGGUGGAAUGCGCAGAUAUCAGGAGGAGCACCGAUGGCGAAGGCAGGUCUCUGGGCAGUAACUGACGCUGAGGAGCGAAAGCAUGGGGAGCGAACAGGAUUAGAUACCCUGGUAGUCCAUGCUGUAAACGGUGGGCGUUAGGUGUGGGGACCGGUUUGGUUUCUGUGCCGUAGCUAACGCAUUAAGCGCCCCGCCUGGGGAGUACGGCCGCAAGGCUAAAACUCAAAGGAAUUGACGGGGGCCCGCACAAGCGGCGGAGCAUGUGGAUUAAUUCGAUGCAACGCGAAGAACCUUACCUGGGUUUGACAUGCACCAGACGGUUGUAGAGAUACGUACCUCCCUUUGUGGUUGGUGUGCAGGUGGUGCAUGGUUGUCGUCAGCUCGUGUCGUGAGAUGUUGGGUUAAGUCCCGCAACGAGCGCAACCCUUGUCUUAUGUUGCCAGCACUUUGGGUGGGGACUCAUGAGAGACUGCCGGGGUUAACUCGGAGGAAGGUGGGGAUGACGUCAAAUCAUCAUGCCCUUUAUGCCCAGGGCUUCACACAUGCUACAAUGGUUAGUACAACGCGCUGCGAACCUGUGAGGGUGAGCGAAUCGCUGAAAGCUAAUCUCAGUUCGGAUUGGGGUCUGCAACUCGACCCCAUGAAGUCGGAGUCGCUAGUAAUCGCAGAUCAGCAAUGCUGCGGUGAAUACGUUCCCGGGCCUUGUACACACCGCCCGUCACGUCAUGAAAGUUGGUAACACCCGAAGCCCAUGGCCUAANC